GUUUGAUCCUGGCUCAGAACGAACGCUGGCGGCAGGCUUAACACAUGCAAGUCGAACGAUAUAGUGGCAGACGGGUGAGUAACGCGUGGAAACGUGCCUUUCACUACGGAAUAGCUUUUGGAAACGAAAGGUAAUACCGUAUACGCCCUCCGGGGGAAAGAUUUAUCGGUGAAAGAUCGGUCCGCGUUAGAUUAGCUAGUUGGUGAGGUAACGGCUCACCAAGGCUACGAUCUAUAGCUGGUCUGAGAGGAUGAUCAGCCACACUGGGACUGAGACACGGCCCAGACUCCUACGGGAGGCAGCAGUGAGGAAUAUUGGACAAUGGAGGCAACUCUGAUCCAGCCAUGCCGCGUGCAGGAAGACUGCCCUAUGGGUUGUAAACUGCUUUUAUACAGGAAGAAACCGCUCUACGUGUAGAGCUCUGACGGUACUGUAAGAAUAAGGAUCGGCUAACUCCGUGCCAGCAGCCGCGGUAAUACGGAGGAUCCAAGCGUUAUCCGGAAUCAUUGGGUUUAAAGGGUCCGUAGGUGGAUAAUUAAGUCAGAGGUGAAAGUCUGCAGCUCAACUGUAGAAUUGCCUUUGAUACUGGUUAUCUUGAGUUAUUAUGAAGUAGUUAGAAUAUGUAGUGUAGCGGUGAAAUGCAUAGAUAUUACAUAGAAUACCAAUUGCGAAGGCAGAUUACUAAUAAUCAACUGACACUGAUGGACGAAAGCGUGGGGAGCGAACAGGAUUAGAUACCCUGGUAGUCCACGCCGUAAACGAUGGUUACUAGCUGUUCGAACUUCGGUUUGAGUGGCUAAGCGAAAGUGAUAAGUAACCCACCUGGGGAGUACGUUCGCAAGAAUGAAACUCAAAGGAAUUGACGGGGGCCCGCACAAGCGGUGGAGCAUGUGGUUUAAUUCGAUGAUACGCGAGGAACCUUACCAGGGCUUAAAUGUAGUGUGACAGGACUAGAGAUAGUUUUUUCUUCGGACACAUUACAAGGUGCUGCAUGGUUGUCGUCAGCUCGUGCCGUGAGGUGUCAGGUUAAGUCCUAUAACGAGCGCAACCCCUGUUGUUAGUUGCCAGCGAGUCAUGUCGGGAACUCUAACAAGACUGCCGGUGCAAACCGUGAGGAAGGUGGGGAUGACGUCAAAUCAUCACGGCCCUUACGUCCUGGGCUACACACGUGCUACAAUGGUAGGGACAGAGAGCAGCCACUGGGCGACCAGGAGCGAAUCUAUAAACCCUAUCACAGUUCGGAUCGGAGUCUGCAACUCGACUCCGUGAAGUCGGAAUCGCUAGUAAUCGCAGGUCAGCAUACUGCGGUGAAUACGUUCCCGGGCCUUGUACACACCGCCCGUCACACCAUGGGAGUGGGAUGCAAAAGAAGUGGAUAGUCUAACCUUCGGGAGGACGUUCACCACUUUGUGUUUCAUGACUGGGGUGAAGUCGGAACAAGGUAACCCUAGGGGAACCUGGGGUUGGAUCACCUCCUU
Molecule: ribosomal RNA, 1478 nt
Filed under: Mesodinium pulex
Lineage: Eukaryota; Ciliophora; Litostomatea; Cyclotrichida; Mesodiniidae
Description: partial Bacterial small subunit ribosomal RNA
Rfam family: Bacterial small subunit ribosomal RNA
Source: RNAcentral